CUAUUUAAUUUAAUGUAAAUUAAUUCAGAAAGUAUUAAACCUUUACAAUAAAAGAUAAGGUCUUAUCUCCAAUCAGGUCUGGGCAAUUAUGUGCCAGCACCAGCGGUCACACAUACAGGCCAAGUCAUUUACUAUCAGGUUACACUUACUGUGUGUAUAAUGGGAGGUCAGGGGUUAAAUCCGUAACCUCUGUUCAUGAAUUAUGAUUGUUUAUUCUUUUUAGUGAUAAAUUUAAAUAUUAAACUAGGAUUAGAUACCCUACUAUUGUAAACUUAAUUAUCUAUACAACUUAGAGAGUAACAGUUAGAGUCUCUAAAUCUAGGUCGAAUGGCAGUUAAAUACCUAUUCAGAGGCCCAUGCCGCUAAUCGAUGUCACACGAAGAUCUUACCUUUUCUUAAAUCUUGUACACCGCUGUCGGAAGGUGAUAGCGUAUUUACUCACCCAAUCCCGUUUAAGGGGAUAAGUCAAGUCAAGGUGCAGCCUAUGAAGAGGCCACAGUGUGGGUUAUAGAUUAGAUUAACUACUCUUUUAAUGAGUAAAUAGUUCCAAAUUUGAUAGUAAUUAUCGUUAUUUAAUCAAAAUAUCUUAAAAAAGUCAUAUUUUGUGUACAAAUCGCCCGUCACUCCGUAUAAUAGCGGAUAAGUCGUAACAUAGUUGUCCUACUGGAAAGUGGGACAAGUUAUUCUUUA
This 690-nucleotide ribosomal RNA is filed under the name Hoplopleura akanezumi. RNAcentral describes it as "small subunit ribosomal RNA". Lineage: Eukaryota; Metazoa; Arthropoda; Insecta; Psocodea; Hoplopleuridae. The record is from RNAcentral.